GCGACCCCAGGUCAGGCGGGAUUACCCGUUGAGUUUAAGCAUAUCAAUAAGCGGAGGAAAACAAACUUACAAGGAUUCCCUUAGUAAUGACGAGCGAAUCGGGAAUAGCCCAGCCUUAGAAUCGGGCGGCUCCGUCGUCCGAAUUGUAGUCUGGAGAAGCGUCCUCGUCCGAAUUGUAGUCUGGAGAAGCGUCCUCAGCGGUGGACUGGGCCCAAGUCCCCUGGAAGGGGGCGCCGGAGAGGGUGAGAGCCCCGUAGUGCCCAGACCCUAUCGCACCACGAGGCGCUGUCUACGAGUUGGGUUGUUUGGGAAUAGAGCCCAAAUCGGGCGGUGAAUUCCAUCCAAGGAUAAAUACGAGCGAGAGACCGAUAGCGAACAAGUACCGCGCGGGAAAGAUGAAAAGGACUUUGAAAAGAGAGUCAAAGAGUGCUUGAAAUUGUCGGGAGGGAAGAGGAUGGGGGCCGGCGAUGCUCCCCGGUCGGAUGUGGAACAGCGACGAGCUGAUAUGCCGGUUGACCCAGGGCGUGGACCAGCGUGGAUUAGGAGGGCGGCUAAAUCCCGGGCUCUCGAUACGCUCGUGGAAUGCCGUCUCCUCGAUUAUGCCAGGCAGCGCGUGCCUCCGGCGUGCUUCGGCAUCUGCGCGCUUCGGACGCUGGCCUGUGAGCUCCCCAUUCGACCCAUCUUGAAUCACGGACCAAGGAGUCUGACAUGUGUGCAAGUCAAUGGGCGAGUAAACCCGUAAGACGCAAGGAAGCUGAUUGGUGGGAUCCCCCCGAGGGGUGCACCGCCGAUCGACCUUGAUCUUUUGAGAAGGGUUCGAGUGUGAGCAUACCUGUUGGGACCCGAAAGAUGGUGAACUAUGCCUGAACGGGGCUCGCGUGCGAGUUCUAUCGGUUAAAGCCAAUGAUUAGAGGCCUCAGGGACGCAACGCCCUCGAACUAUUCUCAAACUUUAAAUAGGUAGAACGGUGCGACUGCUUCGUUGAGCCGCGCCACAAAAUUAAGAGCUCCGAGUGGGACAUUUUUGGUAAGCAGAACUGGCGAUGCGGGAUGAACCAGAAGCCGGGUUACGGUGCCAAAAUGCACGCUAACCUAGAUCCCACAAAGGGUGUUGGUCGAUUAAGACAGUAGAACGGUGGUCAUGGAAGUCGAAAUCCGCUAAGGAGUGUGUAACAACUCACCUGCCGAAUCAAAUAGCAUGGAAAGUGGAUGGCGGUUAAGCGCGCGACCUACACCCAGCCGUUGGGGCAAGUGCCAGGCCCCGAUGAGUAGGAGGGUGUGGCGGUCGCUGCAAAACCUUAGGCGCAAGCCCGGGCGGAGCGGCCGUCGGUGCAGAUCUUGGUGGUAGUAGAAAAUAUUCAAAUGAGAACUUUGAAGGCCAAAGAGGGGAAAGGUUCCAUGUGAACGGAACUGGCACAUGGGUUAGUCGAUCCUAAGGGUCGGGGAAACCCGGACAGAUACCGCGUUUCGUGCGAGCUUCGAAUGGGAAUCGGGUUAAAAUUCCUGAACCGGGACGUGGCAGUCGACGACAACGUUAGGAAGUUCGGAGACGUCGGUGGGAGCCUCAGGAAGAGUUAUGUUUUCUGUUUAACAGCCUGCCCCCGAUGGAAUCGGCUCAGCCGGAGGUAGGGUCUAGCGACUGGAAGAGCACCGCACGUCGCGUGGUGUCCGGUGCGCUCCUGGCGGCCCUUGAAAAUCCGGAGGACCGAAUGUCGUCCACACCCGGUCGUACUCAUAACUGCAUCAGGUCUCCAAGGUGAACAACCUCUGGUCGAUAGAACAAUUUAGGAAAGGGAAGUCGGCAAAAUGGAUCCGUAAGUUUGGGAAAAGGAUUGGCUCUGAGGGCUGGGCACGGUGGUCCCAGUCCCGAACCCGUCGGCUGUCGGUGGACUGCUCGAACUGCUCCUGCGGCGAGAGCUGGUCGCCGCGUGCCGGGAUGGGGACGGACUGGGAACGGUUCCUUUGGGGGCCUUCCCCGCGCGUCGAACAGCCAACUCACGCAAUGUGAUUUCUGCCCAGUGCUCUGAAUGUCAAAGUGAAUAAAUUCA
Molecule: ribosomal RNA, 2047 nt
Filed under: Capsicum baccatum
Lineage: Eukaryota; Viridiplantae; Streptophyta; Magnoliopsida; Solanales; Solanaceae
Description: eukaryotic LSU rRNA
Rfam family: Eukaryotic large subunit ribosomal RNA
Source: RNAcentral